Molecule: ribosomal RNA, 230 nt
Filed under: uncultured bacterium
Lineage: Bacteria
Description: partial 16S ribosomal RNA
Rfam family: Bacterial small subunit ribosomal RNA
Source: RNAcentral
AAAGGGUCCGUAGGCGGUUUGGUAAGUCAGUGGUGAAAGCCCAUCGCUUAACGAUGGAACGGCCAUUGAUACUGCCAGACUUGAAUUACUAGGAAGUAACUAGAAUAUGUAGUGUAGCGGUGAAAUGCUUAGAUAUUACAUGGAAUACCAAUUGCGAAGGCAGGUUACUACUAGUGGAUUGACGCUGAUGGACGAAAGCGUGGGGAGCGAACAGGAUUAGAUACCCUUGU